RNAcentral lists this ribosomal RNA (433 nucleotides) under uncultured bacterium. Its description in RNAcentral is "partial 16S ribosomal RNA". It matches the Rfam family "Bacterial small subunit ribosomal RNA", at positions 29 to 507 of the family's 1533-position model. The record is from RNAcentral.
AACGAACGCUGGCGGCAUGCCUAACACAUGCAAGUCGAACGAGACCUUCGGGUCUAGUGGCGCACGGGUGCGUAACGCGUGGGAACCUGCCCUUAGGUUCGGAAUAACUCCCCGAAAGGGGUGCUAAUACCGGAUAAUGUCUUCGGACCAAAGAUUUACCGCCCUUGGAUGGGCCCGCGUUGGAUUAGCUAGUUGGUAGGGUAAAAGCCUACCAAGGGGACGAUCCAUAGCUGGUCUGAGAGGAUGAUCAGCCAGACUGGGACUGAGACACGGCCCAGACUCCUGCGGGAGGCAGCAGUGGGGAAUAUUGAACAAUGGACGAAAGCCUGAUCCAGCAAUGCCGCGUGAGUGAUGUAGGCCUGAGGGUUGUAAAGCUCGUUUACCCGGGAUGAUAAUGACAGUACCGGGAGAAUAAGCCCCGGCUAACUCCGUG